Non-coding RNA from Macaca mulatta (Rhesus monkey), 361 nucleotides. The record is from RefSeq and is a predicted model, not a curated record. Lineage: Eukaryota; Metazoa; Chordata; Mammalia; Primates; Cercopithecidae.
CUUAGGAAACUGAAAACAUAUUUUUAUAGUUUUAAAAAGCUUCUGUUUUCUUUCUUCCGAAGGGUAACAUUUCUCUGGCUUCUGAACUUCUGCAGUAACAGGAUCUUCAAAGCAGGAUUUAUCUCCAACCCUUUCACACACAACCAGGCACAAAGCCGUGUUCUUCACCUUGAAGCUGGGACACAGGAAGCGCCGUAGCUUGAUUGUCAGCCUCCUCAAGCAUCCCCAGGACCCUUCAUAAAUGGAACGAACUCGAGCUGGCUCAACCGCUUGUUUUAAAAGUGUGUCUUUCUAGGAAAUAUUUGUUCUGCCAUUCCCCCCACAGUUUUACGAAAUAAAUCACGUUGUGCUUGGAAUCGUC